Molecule: transfer RNA, 68 nt
Filed under: Blepharipoda liberata
Lineage: Eukaryota; Metazoa; Arthropoda; Malacostraca; Decapoda; Blepharipodidae
Description: tRNA-Trp
Source: RNAcentral
AAGAUUUUAAGUUAAUUUAAACUACCAACCUUCAAAGUUGAAAAUAAGAGAUAAUCUUUUAAAUCUUA